This is a regulatory RNA element of 193 nucleotides. It matches the Rfam family "psaA RNA". The record is from Rfam.
CCUAUGCUUCCGCCAGCGGUCCCCUCUUUGGGGCCCAGCGCUCCAGUGGCCGACAGGGGUUUCGCUCCUGUCGCCAUUGGCGCCCGGUCGUGGUGACGCUUCGCGGAGCUGCGUCCGGGGCCCCGGUGAACAUCUGUUUAUCGGAGGGGUGGCCCACCACCUCGAUCCCGUCCCUCGAGGAACGACUCGAUGA